UCCCGUGUGGCUCAGUUGGUAGAGCAUGGUGUUUGCAACGCCAGGGUUGUGGGUUCGAUUCCCACGUGGGAC
Molecule: non-coding RNA, 72 nt
Organism: Salmo salar (Atlantic salmon)
Lineage: Eukaryota; Metazoa; Chordata; Actinopteri; Salmoniformes; Salmonidae
Source: Rfam